AGGCCGAUGGCGACCGGCGCACGGGUGAGUAACACGUAUCCAACCUGCCGUCUACUCUUGGACAGCCUUCUGAAAGGAAGAUUAAUACAAGAUGGCAUCAUGAGUCCGCAUGUUCAUAUGAUUAAAGGUAUUCCGGUAGACGAUGGGGAUGCGUUCCAUUAGAUAGUAGGCGGGGUAACGGCCCACCUAGUCUUCGAUGGAUAGGGGUUCUGAGAGGAAGGUCCCCCACAUUGGAACUGAGACACGGUCCAAACUCCUACGGGAGGCAGCAGUGAGGAAUAUUGGUCAAUGGGCGAGAGCCUGAACCAGCCAAGUAGCGUGAAGGAUGACUGCCCUAUGGGUUGUAAACUUCUUUUAUAAAGGAAUAAAGUCGGGUAUGCAUACCCGUUUGCAUGUACUUUAUGAAUAAGGAUCGGCUAACUCCGUGCCAGCAGCCGCGGUAAUACGGAGGAUCCGAGCGUUGUCCGGAUUUAUUGGGUUUAAAGGGAGCGUAGAUGGAUGUUUAAGUCAGUUGUGAAAGUUUGCGGCUCAACCGUAAAAUUGCAGUUGAUACUGGAUAUCUUGAGUGCAGUUGAGGCAGGCGGAAUUCGUGGUGUAGCGGUGAAAUGCUUAGAUAUCACGAAG
Molecule: ribosomal RNA, 624 nt
Filed under: uncultured Bacteroidales bacterium
Lineage: Bacteria; Pseudomonadati; Bacteroidota; Bacteroidia; Bacteroidales
Description: bacterial SSU rRNA
Rfam family: Bacterial small subunit ribosomal RNA
Source: RNAcentral